GUCAGUUUGGCUGAGUGGUCUAAGGUGCCAGACGCAAGGGUUCCUCCUGCACUACUGGGUAUUCUGGUCUCUGAAUGGAGGUGUGAGUUCAAAUCCCACUUCUGACA
Pangasius djambal is the source of this 107-nucleotide non-coding RNA. Lineage: Eukaryota; Metazoa; Chordata; Actinopteri; Siluriformes; Pangasiidae. The record is from the annotation of a GenBank genome assembly.